GGGCACCGGACGUGACGUCCUCCCAUGAUCAGCCAAUCCCGCGCCGCCCUCGUGUUUACAGUCUGAGUUCCGCGCAUGCGCUCUAGCAUGUAAAUAACAGCAACCGCGGCGGUGGUUUGUUUGGUGUCGCACAGGCUCAUCAAAUAGACGAAUAACCGGGUUAUAUUUACAGAGAACGUUAUUAUAUCUGCUACGUUCAUGAAAUGUAGUAUGACACAGCAGGCUGUCGAUCAGAGUAACACAGCUGAUCCAGGAGCGAAUGCUGCUCAAUAAAACACUCAAGACCAUUAUUCAAGACCAUUAAUCUGCUGUGGGAUUCGCAGAAAUGCUUACAGAAAACAGGAAACGUCAGCGCGCUGAAGGUGAUGAUGAAGAUGCUCGGAUGCCUCAGGCCAAACGACUGAGUUCAGUCCUCCAGAGCUCAGAGACGGGUAGAGAAUCAUGGGAGUCUGAGUCUUCCAGUAGCGAGAGCAGUUGGAUCAGCAGUCCGGAUCACGCCGCAGGGAGCAGCAGCAGUAGCCAUUGUGGAGUGGAUGUUAUCGGGCCCCACGGCGGCCCCGGCCCCUGCAGUCCCCACAGUGCCUCUAAGCAGUCGGACCCCAUGGACCUGCUGUCCUACCAGCACAUCAACCGUGUCCUGAGGGAAGCCCAUUUCCACAGCUUACAGAGCCGAGCUCAGUCCAAGCACAGGUGACUUUCAGGGACAGAUUAACCCCAUAGUGGACCCCUAGAAGACAGGGUAAAACUUCUUCAUCUCCAUCCUCGUUCAAACCUGCUCCUACUUUCUAGAUCUCUCUGCUAUAGCUCAUUUUAUGUUGAUAUUUUAUUGGAUGGAAAACAUGCCCUGGUACUGUAAGCUCUUUGACUAACUAGAGCACAAAAGUGUUCAUUGUAAGCAAUAACGGCUUGAUUAUGAUGCAAACUUUUGUGACUUUCACACUGUGUACUUUUCUUCUGAAAACAGCUGUAUUGAGAAUUAAGAUGCGGUUUAGUGGGGAUUUGCACUUGGGAAUUUAUGUUGAUCAGAUAUUGAUGUGGACCAUAUAGCAAUGCAGCUGAGCACAUUUAGAUGGGAGGCAUAAAUAUUCCAAUGCACCUCUGAUUAGUGAACUCCAUUGCAGUGCUGUAACGAAUGCAUAAAGACGGCAGUCGAUUUAAUAUGAAAGACUGCGCUGAUGGGCAGAUCUGGGGAAUUUCUUUAUAAUCUUGAAACAGUGGCUCAGAGGUUCUGCCGGAUCUCUUGCCUCCCAACCAUCACUGAAGCUGGUUGCUCAUCCAGGCAUCAGGCCUUCGAGACCCUGCGGAGGUUUUCUUGUGUGCUAUUCAAAUACUGCAUUUUAAAGAUUGUUGUUUAUUUUACUAUACCUUUUUGUAAUGAAAGAUGUACAUUACAUUUUACAUUCAGAUCAUCUACAUUUCUAAAUAAAGAUGGAUGUUCUUAAGCAAACCUGUG
RNAcentral lists this long non-coding RNA (1453 nucleotides) under Sinocyclocheilus anshuiensis. RNAcentral's name for it is "lncRNA (ENSSANG00000015117.1)". The record is from RNAcentral. Lineage: Eukaryota; Metazoa; Chordata; Actinopteri; Cypriniformes; Cyprinidae.